This 355-nucleotide unclassified non-coding RNA is filed under the name Hevea brasiliensis (rubber tree). The record is from RNAcentral. Lineage: Eukaryota; Viridiplantae; Streptophyta; Magnoliopsida; Malpighiales; Euphorbiaceae.
AAAAUAUACUCUGUUUUUUAUCAAGGAAGUAUUUUAUCGGUACAAGUAAAAUUGUAUCUAUAUGAUAAGGGAAAUGACAUUAGGACUGGUGUUAAUGUCAAAAGAUGAUAUUGGAAAUUUAACAUGGUGGCUUCAUAAUAUUACAAUCAUCACAGUUACCAUCCAAAGAAUGUCUUACAAAAUAAUAACACACCCUUGAGAAGAGAGGGAUUGGAGUGGAAGUAUUAUUCAGAUUAAACUCAUAGACCACCCUUGUCCAGCCCUAAUGAAGCAAGGAUCCUCAUGCAAUGCACUAAGGAAACCCUUAUCCAGCCCUAACAAAGCAGGAUGCCUCAUGCAAUGCACUAAGGAAACC